AAUCAACGCUGGCGGCGUGCCUAACACAUGCAAGUCGAACGCGAAAGGGGGCUUCGGCCCUGAGUAGAGUGGCAAACGGGUGAGUAACACGUGGGUGACCUGCCUUCGAGGUGGGGGAUAACGUCCCGAAAGGGACGCUAAUACCGCAUGACAUCCUGCCUUUGGACAGGCGGAGAUCAAAGCUAGGGAUCGCAAGACCUGGCGCUUGAAGGAGGGGCCCGCGCCUGAUUAGCAGUUGGC
Molecule: ribosomal RNA, 240 nt
Filed under: uncultured bacterium
Lineage: Bacteria
Description: partial 16S ribosomal RNA
Rfam family: Bacterial small subunit ribosomal RNA
Source: RNAcentral